RNAcentral lists this ribosomal RNA (303 nucleotides) under Triticum aestivum (bread wheat). Its description in RNAcentral is "partial small subunit ribosomal RNA". Lineage: Eukaryota; Viridiplantae; Streptophyta; Magnoliopsida; Poales; Poaceae. The record is from RNAcentral.
AUGCCAAACUUCCAAUCAAAUUCAUGUAAAAUUAUUCCAUUUAAAACUAUCUCAAAUUUUAAAUUUGAUAAUUUAUGGAAUACACUUUUGAUAAGUUACCAAUACAGUUUCUCCAUCCAGCUUCCUUUGCCACAAAAUAUACCUAACAUGCCAAAUAAUUCAAUUAUAGAAAAUUCGAAAAACAAAGUACUAUUAUUGGAUUUUGUAAUAUACCUGAGAUUCUACAACUUACUGAAAUUUCAUAAAACCAAAUAUAUAGAUGAAAAUCACUGUAAAUACGACACCACCGUCUCAUCAAAAUAA